RNAcentral lists this long non-coding RNA (1290 nucleotides) under Strigops habroptila (Kakapo). Its description in RNAcentral is "lncRNA (ENSSHBG00005014381.1)". Lineage: Eukaryota; Metazoa; Chordata; Aves; Psittaciformes; Psittacidae. The record is from RNAcentral.
UUUUUUUUUUUUUAAUUUGGCUCUAGACUAAAUAUAUACUCAAGUAACAUUCAAUUAUUUCAAAAUAUAUUCAGAUAACUUUUCUGGUUUAUUUGUUUACAAACUUACUUGUUCCCUGAGGUCUCAGCUCUCAUGUGCUCCAGCAGCAGGUAGACAGCUAUGCUGCAGGAGGGGAGAGGAGAGGAGAGGAAAGAGGAGCAACACAGCAACACCUCAAUGGCACAACCCAGUGAAACCUGGACUGCAAACCAGAAAUUCAGUGCACAGAAAUGGUUUUUCUCAGAGUUGUGUACUCUUCCCACAGCUUUCAGUGAAGAAAAAAAAAAAAAUCCUAAUUCAAGAUACAAAGAAAAUACGUAUUAAACAGCUACCAAAUUUAUUCUGCUAAUGAAACCUGUAUUUUAAAGAGAUGAAGAAUAUGGAGCUAGCUAGUAUUAUGUUACACUCUGCUUGACCAUUUAACUGAUUUACAGAUCCACCUAGUGAAAAAGCACGAGUUCAUUUAGUAAAAUGUAUGCAUUAGAUUAACAAUCAAGAAAAGGCUAAAAUUAAAAUGAAGGAUGAGGAGAACAUUAACAAUAGGCAUUUUCAAGAGUGGAAAAUGCUGGGUAAAGCAGUUAUAUAGUGGAAAUGCAGGAAAUCAGUGGUUUAAUUUCUUGGGAUUGGGCAUGUUCAGAUCCCACACAGUCUGAGCUGUAUUUUUUAACAAGCUGAUACAUUUUCUGUCUGAUCAUUAUGGAUUUUGACAACGUCAUUUUGGAACCUUGGUUACUAAGAUAUCAAUAAUUAAAUGCUUUCACACUUCACUCUUGUGGAUAUUGGCAACUUAUCUUUGUCCUUUGAAGAAGCUAAUGGUAAAAUGGGCAAAACAUCAAGAAUAAUUAAAGAAAAUGCUGGUAUAAACUCCAUCAGAAAAAAAUACAACUUUGUGCAUGGCUUGGUAUCUCACAGCCUGCACUUAGUUUUAAAAUUAGGGAAAGGUAUUUCUUUCUGGUACCUCUUAACUGUGUUUUGUCUGUGUUUAGAGAGGAAAGUACAUGCCGUAAUUAAUGAUUUAAUAGCCUCUAUGUGUAGUCUCAUUUUCUAGUUAAAAGAAUAACUAGCUGAAACAGCAGUAGCCCAUUACAAAAAGCAUCCUUCUCCUUUUGUUAUUUUCUGUAGAAAUGCUCCCUGUAACACAGCACCGCUGAAAGUCACAAGCCUUGAUUUGCACAAAAGAUACUGCAACCCAGUGACAUCUUGGAGAGGAGGGGUGGGAGAGGAGGAAUUAAUUUUAAAGAGCACGAAGUC